Long non-coding RNA from Exaiptasia diaphana, 286 nucleotides. RefSeq lists it as uncharacterized. The transcript has 2 exons. Lineage: Eukaryota; Metazoa; Cnidaria; Anthozoa; Actiniaria; Aiptasiidae. The record is from RefSeq and is a predicted model, not a curated record.
UGCAUCUUUCUAUACCUUUUAGAUUUCAGGACAAGAAACCUUUUAUAUUCGGCUACUAUCACAAGCAUUGUCAUAUUUAUAUUUUGCAGUAUCUUCCUACAAGUAAAUCAAGGGAGACCAUCACAGAUAAAUAAAAAGGAGCAUUCAGUCAACGAUGAUGAUUCCAAUCAUGAAUCUCGAUGAGCGAAACAACAUUGUCUGCCAACAGCGGGAAAAUAAUAGCGAGGAAAAAAAAAACAAUCUUUAGUCCCUUGGUUUGAAUAAAUAUGCACUGUUCAGUGAUCAA